AGCGAACGCUGGCGGCAGGCUUAACACAUGCAAGUCGAACGGGCAUAGCAAUAUGUCAGUGGCAGACGGGUGAGUAACGCGUGGGAACAUACCUUUUGGUUCGGAACAACACAGGGAAACUUGUGCUAAUACCGAAUAAGCCCUUACGGGGAAAGAUUUAUCGCCGAAAGAUUGGCCCGCGUCUGAUUAGCUAGUUGGUGAGGUAACGGCUCACCAAGGCUACGAUCAGUAGCGGUCUGAGAGGAUGAUCAGCCACACUGGGACUGAGACACGGCCCAGACUCCUACGGGAGGCAGCAGUGGGGAAUAUUGGACAAUGGGCGCAAGCCUGAUCCAGCCAUGCCGCGUGAGUGAUGAAGGCCCUAGGGUGUAAAGCUCUUUUGNGCGGAAGAUAAUGACGGCACCGCAAGAAUAA
RNAcentral lists this ribosomal RNA (414 nucleotides) under uncultured bacterium. RNAcentral describes it as "bacterial SSU rRNA". It matches the Rfam family "Bacterial small subunit ribosomal RNA", at positions 29 to 489 of the family's 1533-position model. The record is from RNAcentral.